This is a long non-coding RNA of Thalassophryne amazonica, 98 nucleotides long. RefSeq lists it as uncharacterized. The transcript is spliced from 3 exons. NCBI's taxonomy places the organism in Eukaryota, Metazoa, Chordata, Actinopteri, Batrachoidiformes, Batrachoididae. The record is from RefSeq and is a predicted model, not a curated record.
GACGUGGUGGAGCACUUCACUGCGGUUUUUAAGAGCAGCUUCGUGUGUCGGUGGGUUAGCACAGAGACUUUCUCAUCAUUUGAAUCUCACAUCUUAAA